GGGCCAGACUCCUACGGGAGGCAGCAGUGAGGAAUAUUGGUCAAUGGGCGAGAGCCUGAACCAGCCAAGUCGCGUGAGGGAAGACGGUCCUAUGGAUUGUAAACCUCUUUUGCCGGGGAGCAAAAAGCGGUACGUGUACCGCAUCGAGAGUACCCGGAGAAAAAGCAUCGGCUAACUCCGUGCCAGCAGCCGCGGUAAUACGGAGGAUGCGAGCGUUAUCCGGAUUUAUUGGGUUUAAAGGGUGCGUAGGCGGGCUGUUAAGUCAGCGGUAAAAUGUCGGGGCUCAACCCCGGCCUGCCGUUGAAACUGGCAGUCUCGAGUUGGAGAGAAGUAUGCGGAAUGCGCGGUGUAGCGGCGAAAUGCAUAGAUAUCGCGCAGAACUCCGAUUGCGAAGGCAGCAUGCCGGCUCCACACUGACGCUGAGGCACGAAAGCGUGGGUAUCGAACAGGAUUAGAUACCCUUGUAC
RNAcentral lists this ribosomal RNA (467 nucleotides) under uncultured bacterium. RNAcentral describes it as "bacterial SSU rRNA". It matches the Rfam family "Bacterial small subunit ribosomal RNA", at positions 328 to 793 of the family's 1533-position model. The record is from RNAcentral.